RNAcentral lists this unclassified non-coding RNA (269 nucleotides) under Glomeromycotina sp. RNAcentral's name for it is "partial contains small subunit ribosomal RNA, internal transcribed spacer 1, and 5.8S ribosomal RNA". The stretch from base 1 to 47 matches the Rfam family "Eukaryotic small subunit ribosomal RNA", at positions 1785 to 1831 of the family's 1831-position model. The record is from RNAcentral. Lineage: Eukaryota; Fungi; Glomeromycota.
AAAGUCGUAACAAGGUUUCCGUAGGUGAACCUGCGGAAGGAUCAUUAACACGUUUCGUUCCGAACGUUUUCUGACCUUUUUCUUUUUAUCCGUGCACAAUUUAAAACCCGGCUUCAUCCAGUUUGUCUUUUGUAACAAAAAGACGAAUUGGGCGCUGCCAAAUUUUCACCCAACCUUGAAUCUAAUUGUUCUGAACUUUUAGUUGAUGGGAAACUGUCAACGAAUAAAAAAAUAAACAACAACUCUUAACAACGGAUAUCUUGGUUCUC